This 269-nucleotide ribosomal RNA is filed under the name uncultured prokaryote. Its description in RNAcentral is "partial 16S ribosomal RNA". It matches the Rfam family "Bacterial small subunit ribosomal RNA", at positions 524 to 792 of the family's 1533-position model. The record is from RNAcentral.
UACGGAGGAUCCGAGCGUUAUCCGGAUUUAUUGGGUUUAAAGGGUGCGUAGGUGGAUUGGUAAGUCAGUGGUGAAAGUUUGCAGCUUAACUGUAAAAUUGCCGUUGAAACUGCCGGUCUUGAGUGCAAAUGAGGUAGGCGGAAUGCGUCGUGUAGCGGUGAAAUGCUUAGAUAUGACGCAGAACUCCGAUUGCGAAGGCAGCUUACUGGGAUGCAACUGACGCUGAGGCACGAAAGCGUGGGUAUAAAACAGGAUUAGAUACCCGGGUA